CCUACGGGAGGCAGCAGUGAGGAAUAUUGGUCAAUGGACGUAAGCCUGAACCAGCCAAGUCGCGUGAGGGAAGAAGGUUCUAUGGAUUGUAAACUUCUUUUAUACGGGGGUAAACUGAGAUACGCGUAUUAUUCUGAAUGUACCGUACGAAUAAGGAUCGGCUAACUCCGUGCCAGCAGCCGCGGUAAUACGGAGGAUUCCAGCGUUAUCCGGAUUUAUUGGGUUUAAAGGGUGCGUAGGCGGUCUGAUAAGUUAGAGUUGAAAUCCCGAGGCUCAACUUUGGAAUUGCCGUUGAUACUGUUGGGCUAGAGUGUAGUUGAGGCAGGCGGAAUGUAUGGUGUAGCGGUGAAAUGCUUAGAGAUCAUGCAGAACCCCGAUUGCGAAGGCAGCCUACCAAGCUACUUCUGACGUUGAGGCACGAAAGCGUGGGGAGCAAACAGGAUUAGAUACCCGGGUAGUC
Molecule: ribosomal RNA, 460 nt
Filed under: uncultured bacterium
Lineage: Bacteria
Description: partial 16S ribosomal RNA
Rfam family: Bacterial small subunit ribosomal RNA
Source: RNAcentral